Long non-coding RNA from Clupea harengus (Atlantic herring), 1105 nucleotides. Lineage: Eukaryota; Metazoa; Chordata; Actinopteri; Clupeiformes; Clupeidae. The record is from Ensembl.
AUUAUGGCUUAAACUCUUUGACUGUUCACUUGAUUUAAAAUGUAAACAUCAGAGCAAGUUCCAACACUAUGUGAAGCUGCCAUGACACAGGUACAACUGCAGGCAGAAGAGAUUCAAUUGAUUUCAGAUUAGGGUGAUGUCCUUUUGGGGUGGGAGGCUGUCAGGAGGAGAGGCUUAUGAGAAUGAUUCAGAUAUGUGGAGAGAAUACGCCAGGGGUAAGAAAGGGAGGCAGAGAAUCUGAGCAUGGAGGAAUAGAUAGCAUUUCAAGGGAGUUGUCUUGUGUAAUGUGUAUGUGUGUGUCUAUGUAUGGGUAUUUUUGUGUGUGCAUACAAAGUGUGAGUGUGUGUGUGCGUGUGUCUUUAGAAUCCCUGACUGAUGUUGGCAGGGUCUCAUGAUGAUUUCACAAGUCGUGGCUGAAAUGUAAUGUGCAUCCAUAAUGAAACCACUUUUUAGUGGGACAACAAAUGACUGGAGCACAAAAAGACUGGACUACCAAUGCAAAGAUACCAACUGAAACAAUGCAUGUAUGGCAUAUCUGACCAUCAGUUAAGCUAAUUCAAUGUAUGAGAUGUCUAACAUUCAUCAUAAUUCUACAAAUCUGCAAAAGAAAUUUCCAGUUAACUAUUGUCAUCAACAGUGAGAUCUGAAAAGGUGGGAGGAUUGCAAAGGUGUAAGAAAGUAUAAUAAUUACUUUUAAAACAAAUAAAUACUAAUUACUUUAUAAAUACUACCCAUACUACUUCUAAUAAUACGCUUUGUUUGUAUCCACAUUCUCUUAUUUCCUAAUAAAAAUGAAUUAGCCUACUUCUAUAAACAGCCAAUGCGGACGAAAGAGCUUCUGAGGGCAAAAGCUUAUCAGAAUUGUAUUUAUUGCCAAGUAGGUUUACACCUACCUGGAAUUUGCUUUGGUGUAUAGGUGCAUCCAGUAAACAUAAAAAUAAAAACAAGUACUACACAUAAGAAAAAAAACAAUAUAUAAGAUACAAAUAUAUAAAAUGUAUAUAAAAAAGUAAAGUAAAAAGUAAAAUGCAAAACAGGAGUGCAAUGUGAUUGUGCAAUGUAAUGUAAUGUGUGUUAAUUUAACACAGACUUGAGGAGUGGGGGC